UACGUAGGGCGCAAGCGUUGUCCGGAAUUAUUGGGCGUAAAGAGCUCGUAGGCGGCCUGUCGCGUCUGCUGUGAAAUCCCGGGGCUUAACCCCGGGCGUGCAGUGGAUACGGGCUGGCUGGAGGCAGGCAGGGGAGAACGGAAUUCCCGGUGUAGCGGUGAAAUGCGCAGAUAUCGGGAGGAACACCGGUGGCGAAGGCGGUUCUCUGGGCCUGUUCUGACGCUGAGGAGCGAAAGCGUGGGGAGCGAACAGG
RNAcentral lists this ribosomal RNA (253 nucleotides) under uncultured bacterium. RNAcentral's name for it is "partial 16S ribosomal RNA". It matches the Rfam family "Bacterial small subunit ribosomal RNA", at positions 524 to 776 of the family's 1533-position model. The record is from RNAcentral.